Cricetulus griseus (Chinese hamster) is the source of this 139-nucleotide small nucleolar RNA. NCBI's taxonomy places the organism in Eukaryota, Metazoa, Chordata, Mammalia, Rodentia, Cricetidae. The record is from Ensembl.
UAUCUGAAUGGACAGACUUUUUCGGUGACUUACGUUAACUGAUGUCAAAAUACGAGCCGAAAGUGUGCUACAUUCAUUGAACACAUGGCAAGAUUUUCGCUAACAUGACUGGAGUUGGUUAGUGGUCACUGCCACAUAC